Molecule: ribosomal RNA, 515 nt
Filed under: uncultured bacterium
Lineage: Bacteria
Description: partial 16S ribosomal RNA
Rfam family: Bacterial small subunit ribosomal RNA
Source: RNAcentral
GAUGAACGCUGGCGGCGUGCCUAAUACACGCAAGUCGAGCGAAUGGAUUAAGAGCUUGCUCUUAUGAAGUUAGCGGCGGACGGGUGAGUAACACGUGGGUAACCUGCCCAUAAGACUGGGAUAACUCCGGGAAACCGGGGCUAAUACCGGAUAACAUUUUGAACCGCAUGGUUCGAAAUUGAAAGGCGGCUUCGGCUGUCACUUAUGGAUGGACCCGCGUCGCAUUAGCUAGUUGGUGAGGUAACGGCUCACCAAGGCAACGAUGCGUAGCCGGCCGGAGAGGGUGAUCGGCCACACUGGGACUGAGACACGGCCCAGACUCCUACGGGAGGCAGCAGUAGGGAAUCUUCCGCAAUGGACGAAAGUCUGACGGAGCAACGCCGCGUGAGUGAUGAAGGCUUUCGGGUCGUAAAACUCUGUUGUUAGGGAAGAACAAGUGCUAGUUGAAUAAGCUGGCACCUUGACGGUACCUAACCAGAAAGCCACGGCUAACUACGUGCCAGCAGUCGCCGUAA